UUUAUUGGAGAGUUUGAUCCUGGCUCAGGAUGAACGCUGGCGGCGUGCCUAAUACAUGCAAGUCGAGCGAACGGAUUAAGAGCUUGCUCUUAAGAAGUUAGCGGCGGACGGGUGAGUAACACGUGGGUAACCUGCCCAUAAGACUGGGAUAACUCCGGGAAACCGGGGCUAAUACCGGAUAACAUCUAGCACCGCAUGGUGCAAGAUUGAAAGGCGGCUUCGGCUGUCACUUAUGGAUGGACCCGCGUCGCAUUAGCUAGUUGGUGAGGUAACGGCUCACCAAGGCGACGAUGCGUAGCCGACCUGAGAGGGUGAUCGGCCACACUGGGACUGAGACACGGCCCAGACUCCUACGGGAGGCAGCAGUAGGGAAUCUUCCGCAAUGGACGAAAGUCUGACGGAGCAACGCCGCGUGAGCGAUGAAGGCCUUCGGGUCGUAAAGCUCUGUUGUUAGGGAAGAACAAGUAUGAGUUGAAUAAGCUCAUGCCUUGACGGUACCUAACCAGAAAGCCACGGCUAACUACGUGCCAGCAGCCGCGGUAAUACGUAGGUGGCAAGCGUUAUCCGGAAUUAUUGGGCGUAAAGCGCGCGCAG
Molecule: ribosomal RNA, 594 nt
Filed under: Bacillus cytotoxicus
Lineage: Bacteria; Bacillati; Bacillota; Bacilli; Caryophanales; Bacillaceae
Description: bacterial SSU rRNA
Rfam family: Bacterial small subunit ribosomal RNA
Source: RNAcentral